CGGGGUGGAGUAAUGUCUGGGAAACGUGCCUGAUGGAGGGGGAUAACUGCUGGAAACGGUAGCUAAUACCGCAUAACGUCGCAAGACCAAAGAGGGGACCUUCGGGCCUCUUGCCAUCGGAUGUGCCCAGAUGGGAUUAGCUAGUAGGUGGGGUAACGGCUCACCUAGGCGACGAUCCCUAGCUGGUCUGAGAGGAUGGCCAGCCACACUGGAACUGAGACACGGUCCAG
RNAcentral lists this ribosomal RNA (230 nucleotides) under uncultured bacterium. Its description in RNAcentral is "partial 16S ribosomal RNA". It matches the Rfam family "Bacterial small subunit ribosomal RNA", at positions 104 to 334 of the family's 1533-position model. The record is from RNAcentral.